UUGCUUUGGCAGCAUACACGCUGACACUGAAGUGAUGCAGAGAAGAUUAGCAUGGGCCCCAUGCAAGGGUGACACGCAAAUUUGUGAAACAUUCCGUAUAGUU
This 103-nucleotide small nuclear RNA is filed under the name Moschus moschiferus (Siberian musk deer). Lineage: Eukaryota; Metazoa; Chordata; Mammalia; Artiodactyla; Moschidae. The record is from RNAcentral.